UAUUCUUAAAUUAUAUAUCUUAAUAUUUUCAAUAUUAUAUUUUUUUUAAAACUAUAAGAAC
This 61-nucleotide transfer RNA is filed under the name Otobius megnini. Its description in RNAcentral is "tRNA-Phe". Lineage: Eukaryota; Metazoa; Arthropoda; Arachnida; Ixodida; Argasidae. The record is from RNAcentral.